This 274-nucleotide ribosomal RNA is filed under the name uncultured bacterium. RNAcentral's name for it is "partial small subunit ribosomal RNA". It matches the Rfam family "Bacterial small subunit ribosomal RNA", at positions 26 to 285 of the family's 1533-position model. The record is from RNAcentral.
AGAAUCAACGCUGGCGGCGUGCCUAACACAUGCAAGUCGAACGCGAAAGUCCCGCAAGGGAUGAGUAGAGUGGCAAACGGGUGAGUAACACGUGGGCGACCUGCCUUCGAGCGGGGGAUAACGUCCCGAAAGGGACGCUAAUACCGCAUAACAUCCUGCCUUUUAAGAGGUGGCGAUCAAAGCCGGGGAUUCGCAAGAACCUGGCACUUGAAGAGGGGCCCGCGCCUGAUUAGCUAGUUGGUGGGGUAAUGGCCUACCAAGGCAACGAUCAGUA